RNAcentral lists this long non-coding RNA (3591 nucleotides) under Daphnia magna. RNAcentral's name for it is "uncharacterized LOC116926366, transcript variant X13". The record is from RNAcentral. Lineage: Eukaryota; Metazoa; Arthropoda; Branchiopoda; Diplostraca; Daphniidae.
CCGUCUGCUCUGGGCGUCUGCUUUCAAUUGCGAUCACUCUGUCAUCACGUUGUGUGAUGCUGCAACUGGUAUUAUUCACAUUGUUUAUGUUAUGUACUGGGGCUAACUAGUUAAACUACGAUGGACACUUAAGUUAACUGAGCUUUAUGACAUUUUAAAAAAUCAAAAUGUGGACCUAUCGAGAAUGAGCAUUGAACUAUUGCGAGCUCCAGUUCGUCGCUCGAAAAAUGCACCAUGAGGUUUUUUUCAGUGUUUGGUUUACGUGGAGGUGUCAGUCUACAUUUAGAUUAAUGAAGCUGGUGGCAAGCAGGAUAUCGUUGGAUAAUCCAGAUAGCUGUUUGACAGACCCCAUUUUCGUUUCUUGCGUGGCCAUCUUGCCAUGUAACCUUGCUAAGAAGAUUCUCAUGGUUUCUGCUGAAUCUGAAAAGAAUGAGAUAGCAUUUGUUAACUUGUGAGGAAUUCUCCAAUGUAGCACCAGGGGUGUAUUAUACUACCUAACUGUUUGGUCAUGAUUGUGGUGUAGUGUUGGCAGUGCUCAUGCCAACACUAUCUUUCAUGCCAAAUGUUGAUCAAAGGCCUCUCACCCAAUCAUUCGUUUGACAGGAAUAUAAUCAAUAUUUGUAUGCUACCAUGGAUGGCCUACAGAGCAAGAAGGAAAGAAAAGGUAAUAGUUUGAAACUUUUGUGUUUAAUACAGUAGAAAAUUUGAAACACUCUUUAGGCUGCGAUGGAGGAAUCCAUAUCCCUUCUAAAAAUAGAAGUUUGUGACAAUUUUAACAGAAGAAGACAACGUAAACUAAUUGGUGUGCAAUGCAAAAUUGUAUAGAUUAAAAAGGAAAAAAAGAUUAAUGCUUCCUAUAUAAAUUCAGGCUGUAGUUUUAGAUCUGGAUGGUUUUCUGAUUUCUUCAGUUAGAAUGAAAGAGGUUGUCUUAGACAGCACUGCAAUUCACCCAAAUUAAGUGAGUGAUCCUUAUAUUUAGUAACUUAUGUAAGUUGUUUACCCUAACAUUGGACUGUGCAGCAGAAGCAACUGGCAGAAACUGUUGUGAUCAUGUGUAAUAUGUAUUUGUUCAGAAAGAUGAGAAAAAAAGUAUCACACUUUGUGAAUAGGGAUUUCAUCUGCUGUGACUGAUAAAGAAUCUUUAGUGAAAUUUCAUUGUGACAUUGUUAGGAUGUUAGUCAUUCAAUCUCUUAUUGCAGUCCAUUUGGUAGCUAAAUCCCGUUCACAAAGGAAGGCAAAUUACCUGAACUUGCACGUCAAACGAAUUACAAAUGGCGUUCAGCAGUUUCGCCAUGAGGACAGGGGCUGCUCGCCGUGAAAGGGGAACUAAUUCUGGAGAAUACGAUCGAAUUUAUCGCUGCAAUGUUUUCCUCCUAAAUUAUUUUGAUAUGCUAUUGGUGUCUAAUUGGGAGUAUAUCCGUUCCUUUUAUAUCCAUCAAUGCAUCCAGGUUAGUUGUAUAAAAAACAAACUAGUUAUAUUAUAAUAAAAAACUUAAAAUAUAUAUAAUUUCAUAUGGCAAUCUUUUGAAAGUUUAAGAACGAAUCGUCUUGCAAUAUUUUAUUAUUUGUUUUAAAAGAAUAUUUAAAGCAAACAAUUCAGAAAACAAGUCUAACUAACCGUUUUAUUUGGUCUCUAGUUCGAAAUAUGUCGAUAUCUCGUCGAGCGAUCCAAUAAUUUGUCGUGAAUUCAUUUUAGCUUCGGUAGAUUAAAUUCGGAUCUGCUAUAUUAAGUAGAUGUUGGUCUUUCUGUUAAAAUUCAACCUUUUUCAUUUAUUUGUCUGUUUUACAUUUUCUUACCCUUUUCAUUCAUUUCUCAUUGGUAAAGAAUUAGAAGAAGAAUCGCAGGACACCAAGAUUGACAGGAAGACGCCAGGGAUCAUAAACCAAUGACUAGACAACCACGUUGUUAAUCAUCGUUCCUUCGUGAUAAAAUGUUUCCCCGCUCCCUCCCUUCAGUGGUAAUUGCACAUAAAGAAAACAUGUAGAGAAUAGUCAAAUGUAUAUUACAGCAUCAAACAACAUCUAAUGACGUUGAUCUCGCUAACUGUUUAACAUCUUUUCCUUGCUUGUUUUAAUGUAAUAUCACAAUUAACAUUCCACCAUGGCUAUAUCCAACAGUUAAUGACAACAAAUUUUACAAAGUUGUAAUUCAGUCCAUAUUGAAACCUAAACAAGCAGAUUAACAUGCUACACCAAAGAUGAAAGGGAACUUCUUCUCUGUGCCAUACUAACCAGUCUGCAAUAACAAAGGACCGCAUUUUCGGGAUUCGCACACAAUUUGGGGUAGAGUUCGUGUGUUAGGAGUAUAUACCAAAAAGUUUGCAUAUUUGGCCAAAAUUCAGUAUUUUUAUUUUGUUAACAAACAUUCCCAAAUUUUAUGGAGAUUACAAGUCUCUGAUGAGUAUCGUUGUGUGCUUUGUAGUUCUGAAGUUCUUCGUUACUUCCUGUACACUUCCGUAAAUACAAUUCCGUGUAUAAAAGGCAGUAAGGCACCCUGAGUUAAAAAUCAAGUCGAUCAUAUACGAGUGUGUUCCAUAUUCCAGAAUGCCUAUAGUAUAAGGUUUUUAAAACCUUUGUUGCUUCGCAUUAAAACCUCAAAGAUUGAACGCUACCGUCGUCUGUCAUGUCCGCCAUUAGCUACGUAGACAUGUAAACAUUUUCGCUCUGUUGUUUUUUCAAGUUUUUCCCUUGUUUUGUGCAUCUAUACCAACGAGGUCAAUAAAAAAGAAAGUCCUGAUAGCCGCCUCAUCGUCGCCUUUGUCUUCGCCUUUGCCUUGGCCAUCGUCUCAUCGUCAUCUUCACCUUUGCCUUGGCCAUCGUCUCAUCGCCGUCUUUGCCUUUGCCUUCUCCAUCGUCUCAUCGCCGUCUUCACCUUUGCCUUCUCCAUCAUCUCAUCGCCGUCUUCGCCUUUGCCUUCUCCAUCAUCUCAUCGCCGUCUUCGCCUUUGCCUUCUCCAUCAUCUCAUCGCCGUCUUCGCCUUUGCCUUCUCCAUCGUCUCAUCGCCGUCUUCGCCAUUGCCGCCGUCUUCGCCUUUACCUUCGCCAUUGCCCUAGCGCCGUCUUCGCAUUCGCCCUUCACGGAAAAGUCCAUCGAAAAAGGAUGCAGCUCAGCAGACAGCCUACGGCGAUGGAAGGAGUUCAUCGUGGAUCGUCGGCUUGGUAUUAUUUUGUUUUGUGUAGUGUUAUAUUUAAGUUAACCCGUUGGCUGCCACCCCGUUUGCGUCCCAUUUUUUUUGUAGCUUGUAGGGACCGGGCGCUGUUCUGCCCCAUGGCCAUGGGGGGAACAGUCGCCGCGCCUUUAGGCGCCGUAGGCAAUGCACCAGUAGGGACUUCUCUUUGUCGGCGCGGUGAUAGAUUUCCAGGGGUGUGCAUUCCCGGAAUGGUUUCUAUCACCGUGCCAGCCCGGACUUGUCUUCGGACAAGUCCCAUCUUGUUCGCGAUCCUUCUGACGUGAUGCGUAGCUAUAGUAGUUUAAGCAACCUACGGGUUGCAUGGCCUGGCAGCCAACGGGUUAACUUGUUAAUUGUAUAUGUAUGUAUAUGUAUGCAUAUUUGUAUGAAUUUGUGUAUGUAAUUAUGUAUUUGUAAGUUAU